GUAAACUGUGAGUUGUAUAUGUU
This 23-nucleotide non-coding RNA is filed under the name Arabidopsis thaliana (thale cress). The record is from RNAcentral. Lineage: Eukaryota; Viridiplantae; Streptophyta; Magnoliopsida; Brassicales; Brassicaceae.